This 549-nucleotide ribosomal RNA is filed under the name uncultured bacterium. RNAcentral describes it as "bacterial SSU rRNA". It matches the Rfam family "Bacterial small subunit ribosomal RNA", at positions 355 to 895 of the family's 1533-position model. The record is from RNAcentral.
UAGGGAAUCUUCGGCAAUGGGGGCAACCCUGACCGAGCAACGCCGCGUGAGUGAAGAAGGUUUUCGGAUCGUAAAGCUCUGUUGUAAGUCAAGAACGAGUGUGAGAGUGGAAAGUUCACACUGUGACGGUAGCUUACCAGAAAGGGACGGCUAACUACGUGCCAGCAGCCGCGGUAAUACGUAGGUCCCGAGCGUUGUCCGGAUUUAUUGGGCGUAAAGCGAGCGCAGGCGGUUUGAUAAGUCUGAAGUUAAAGGCUGUGGCUCAACCAUAGUUCGCUUUGGAAACUGUCAAACUUGAGUGCAGAAGGGGAGAGUGGAAUUCCAUGUGUAGCGGUGAAAUGCGUAGAUAUAUGGAGGAACACCGGUGGCGAAAGCGGCUCUCUGGUCUGUAACUGACGCUGAGGCUCGAAAGCGUGGGGAGCGAACAGGAUUAGAUACCCUGGUAGUCCACGCCGUNNCGAUGAGUGCUAGGUGUUGGAUCCUUUCCGGGAUUCAGUGNCGCAGCUNANNCAUUAANCACUCCGCCUGGGGGAGUACNACCGCAAGGUU